AGUGAACGCUGGCGGUAGGCCUAACACAUGCAAGUCGAACGGCAGCACAGGAGAGCUUGCUCUCUGGGUGGCGAGUGGCGGACGGGUGAGGAAUACAUCGGAAUCUACUCUGUCGUGGGGGAGAACGUAGGGAAACUUCCGCGAAUACCGCAUACGACCUACGGGUGAAAGCAGGGGAACUUCGGACCUUGCGCGAUUGAAUGAGCCGAUGUCGGAUCAGCUAGUUGGCGGGGUAAAGGCCCAACAAGGCGACGAUCCGUAGCUGGUCUGAGAGGAUGAUCAGCCACACUGGAACUGAGACACGGUCCAGACUCCUACGGGAGGCAGCAGUGGGGAAUAUUGGACAAUGGGCGCAAGCCUGAUCCAGCCAUACCGCGUGGGUGAAGAAGGCCUUCGGGUUGUAAAGCCCUUUUGUUGGGAAAGAAAUCCAGCUGGCUAAUACCCGGUUGGGAUGACGGUACCCAAAGAAUAAGCACCGGCUAACUUCGUGCCAGCAGCCGCCGUAA
Molecule: ribosomal RNA, 506 nt
Filed under: uncultured bacterium
Lineage: Bacteria
Description: partial 16S ribosomal RNA
Rfam family: Bacterial small subunit ribosomal RNA
Source: RNAcentral